Molecule: ribosomal RNA, 449 nt
Filed under: uncultured bacterium
Lineage: Bacteria
Description: partial 16S ribosomal RNA
Rfam family: Bacterial small subunit ribosomal RNA
Source: RNAcentral
AAUGAACGCUGGCGGCAGGCCUAACACAUGCAAGUCGAACGGAUCCUUCGGGAUUAGUGGCGGACGGGUGAGUAACACGUGGGAACGUGCCCUUUGGUUCGGAACAACUCAGGGAAACUUGAGCUAAUACCGGAUGUGCCCUUCGGGGGAAAGAUUUAUCGCCAUUGGAGCGGCCCGCGUCUGAUUAGCUAGUUGGCGAGGUAAAGGCUCACCAAGGCGACGAUCAGUAGCUGGUCUGAGAGGAUGAUCAGCCACAUUGGGACUGAGACACGGUCCAAACUCCUACGGGAGGCAGCAGUGGGGAAUCUUGCGCAAUGGGCGAAAGCCUGAAGCAGCCAUGCCGCGUGAAUGAUGAAGGUCUUAGGAUUGUAAAAUUCUUUCACCGGGGACGAUAAUGACGGUACCCGGAGAAGAAGCCCCGGCUAACUUCGUGCCAGCCGCCGCGGUAA